RNAcentral lists this ribosomal RNA (551 nucleotides) under Aspergillus oryzae. RNAcentral's name for it is "eukaryotic LSU rRNA". The stretch from base 167 to 320 matches the Rfam family "5.8S ribosomal RNA". The record is from RNAcentral. Lineage: Eukaryota; Fungi; Ascomycota; Eurotiomycetes; Eurotiales; Aspergillaceae.
UAGCGAGCCCAACCUCCCACCCGUGUUUACUGUACCUUAGUUGCUUCGGCGGGCCCGCCAUUCAUGGCCGCCGGGGGCUCUCAGCCCCGGGCCCGCGCCCGCCGGAGACACCACGAACUCUGUCUGAUCUAGUGAAGUCUGAGUUGAUUGUAUCGCAAUCAGUUAAAACUUUCAACAAUGGAUCUCUUGGUUCCGGCAUCGAUGAAGAACGCAGCGAAAUGCGAUAACUAGUGUGAAUUGCAGAAUUCCGUGAAUCAUCGAGUCUUUGAACGCACAUUGCGCCCCCUGGUAUUCCGGGGGGCAUGCCUGUCCGAGCGUCAUUGCUGCCCAUCAAGCACGGCUUGUGUGUUGGGUCGUCGUCCCCUCUCCGGGGGGGACGGGCCCCAAAGGCAGCGGCGGCACCGCGUCCGAUCCUCGAGCGUAUGGGGCUUUGUCACCCGCUCUGUAGGCCCGGCCGGCGCUUGCCGAACGCAAAUCAAUCUUUUCCAGGUUGACCUCGGAUCAGGUAGGGAUACCCGCUGAACUUAAGCAUAUCAAUAAGCGGAGGAGGA